CGUGUAGGCGGCUGCUUAAGUCGGACGUGAAAGCUCCUGGCUCAACUAGGAGAGGCCGUUCGAAACUAGGUAGCUCGAGGGUGGUAGAGGAGAGUGGAAUUCCCGGUGUAGUGGUGAAAUGCGUAGAUAUCGGGAGGAACACCAGUGGCGAAGGCGGCUCUCUGGGCCAUUCCUGACGCUGAGACGCGAAAGCGUAGGGGAGAGAACG
Molecule: ribosomal RNA, 208 nt
Filed under: uncultured bacterium
Lineage: Bacteria
Description: partial 16S ribosomal RNA
Rfam family: Bacterial small subunit ribosomal RNA
Source: RNAcentral